UACGUAGGGUGCGAGCGUUGUCCGGAAUUAUUGGGCGUAAAGAGCUUGUAGGCGGUUUGUCGCGUCUGCCGUGAAAGCCCGGGGCUUAACUCCGGGUUUGCGGUGGGUACGGGCAGGCUAGAGUGUGGUAGGGGAGACUGGAAUUCCUGGUGUAGCGGUGAAAUGCGCAGAUAUCAGGAGGAACACCGAUGGCGAAGGCAGGUCUCUGGGCCACUACUGACGCUGAGAAGCGAAAGCGUGGGGAGCGAACAGG
This 253-nucleotide ribosomal RNA is filed under the name uncultured Phycicoccus sp. RNAcentral's name for it is "partial 16S ribosomal RNA". It matches the Rfam family "Bacterial small subunit ribosomal RNA", at positions 524 to 776 of the family's 1533-position model. The record is from RNAcentral. Lineage: Bacteria; Bacillati; Actinomycetota; Actinomycetes; Micrococcales; Intrasporangiaceae.